This 987-nucleotide ribosomal RNA is filed under the name Lethariella cashmeriana. Its description in RNAcentral is "SSU rRNA". It matches the Rfam family "Bacterial small subunit ribosomal RNA", at positions 366 to 1304 of the family's 1533-position model. Lineage: Eukaryota; Fungi; Ascomycota; Lecanoromycetes; Lecanorales; Parmeliaceae. The record is from RNAcentral.
GGUCAAUAGCCUAACGGCUGAACCAGCAACUUGGAGGAAUGUAUAGCAAUAGCUACUUGCAUCAUCAUUGUACAGGUGAUGCAAGAUCGACUAUGUUGAAUAAAAUUCUAGGUAGAAUUAUGAUAAUGACAUUGUCUGCCUAUGUGUCUUGACCAAAUUACGUGCCAGCAGUCGCGGUAAUACGUAGAAGACUAGUGUUAUUCAUCUUUAAUUGGUUUAAAGGGUACCUAGACGGUAAAUCAAGCCUCGAGUAACAGUAAGGGACUAAUUUACUAGAGUUACUUAUGAGGGGGCUAUAAUGUACUGCUGGUGUAGAGAUGAAAUUCUGUCAUACCUCUUUAAAAAGAUGGCACAGGUAUAGGCGAAAGCAUCUCCUUAUGUGAUAACUGACGUUGAGGGACGAAGGCUUGGCGUAGCGAACAGGAUUAGAUACCCCAGUAGUCUAAGCAGAAAAUGAUGAAUGUCAUAGAUUAGAUAUAUAAGUUUAUUCUAUAAAUGAAAGUGUAAGCAUUCCACCUCAAGAGUAAUUUGGCAACAUUGGAACUGAAAUCAUUAGACCGUUUCUGAAACCAGUAGUGAAGUAUGUUGUUUAAUUUGUUGGCCCUCAAAAAACCUUACCACAAUUUGAAUAUUUAUAUCUUUUAUUGUUUUUCUUUUUAAUCUUCUUAUUUUUUUUUCUUGUUGUUCUAACAAUAAACAUAAAUUAAAGAAGAAAAAGAGGCAAUAAGAUAUAUUUACAAGCGUUGCACGGCUGUCUUCAGUUAAUGUCGCGAGACUUUGGUUAGUUCCAUGAAAUUAACGUAAACCCUUACUUUAUUUUUAUAUAGAGUAGUUCCCCGCUAUAUUGGAUAUGAUAACAGGGACUAAGACAAGUCAUCAUGGCCUAAAUAUUGUGGGCUAUAGACGUGCCACGUAGGCCUUACAAAAGGGUGUGAAAUUGCGAAAUUGAGCUAAUCCCCCAAAACUGGGAUAAACACUAACAAUGGA